RNAcentral lists this transfer RNA (69 nucleotides) under Marmota monax (woodchuck). It matches the Rfam family "tRNA". From Rfam's summary of the family: Transfer RNA (tRNA) molecules are approximately 80 nucleotides in length. Their secondary structure includes four short double-helical elements and three loops (D, anti-codon, and T loops). RNAcentral also lists the same sequence under 3 other names. The record is from Rfam by way of RNAcentral. Lineage: Eukaryota; Metazoa; Chordata; Mammalia; Rodentia; Sciuridae.
GGGGCUGGGGCUCAGUGGUAGAGCACUUGCCUAGUAUGUGUGAGGCCCUGGGUUCGAUCCUCAGCACCA